AGAGCGAACGCUGGCGGCAGGCCUAACACAUGCAAGUCGAACGCACCUUCGGGUGAGUGGCGGACGGGUGAGUAACACGUGGGAACGUACCUUUUGGUUCGGAAUAACGCAGGGAAACUUGCGCUAAUACCGAAUGUGCUCCGUAAGGAGGAAAGAUUUAUCGCCAUUAGAGCGGCCCGCGUUAGAUUAGCUAGUUGGUGAGGUAAAGGCUCACCAAGGCUACGAUCUAUAGCUGGUCUGAGAGGAUGAUCAGCCACAUUGGGGACUGAGACACGGCCCAAACUCCUACGGGAGGCAGCAGUGGGGAAUCUUGCGCAAUGGGCGAAAGCCUGACGCAGCCAUGCCGCGUGAAUGAUGAAGGUCUUAGGAUUGUAAAAUUCUUUCAGUAGGGACGAUAAUGACGGUACCUACAGAAGAAGCCCGGCUAACUUCGCGCCAGCAGCCGC
RNAcentral lists this ribosomal RNA (446 nucleotides) under uncultured bacterium. RNAcentral's name for it is "SSU rRNA". It matches the Rfam family "Bacterial small subunit ribosomal RNA", at positions 26 to 518 of the family's 1533-position model. The record is from RNAcentral.